Molecule: ribosomal RNA, 253 nt
Filed under: uncultured bacterium
Lineage: Bacteria
Description: partial 16S ribosomal RNA
Rfam family: Bacterial small subunit ribosomal RNA
Source: RNAcentral
UACGUAGGGUGCGAGCGUUGUCCGGAAUUAUUGGGCGUAAAGAGCUCGUAGGCGGUUUGUCGCGUCGGCCGUGAAAACUUGGGGCUUAACCCCAAGCCUGCGGUCGAUACGGGCAGACUUGAGUUCGGCAGGGGAGACUGGAAUUCCUGGUGUAGCGGUGAAAUGCGCAGAUAUCAGGAGGAACACCGGCGGCGAAGGCGGCUUCCUGGACCGAUACUGACGCUGAGGAGCGAAAGCGUGGGGAGCGAACAGG